GAGAUCGGCCGAUUAGAAGGUUGGAGCGAUUGGGCCAAUAUGGGCUUAAAAUAGGUCAAAGAAAGGAGAUAGAGAAAGUUUGGCCCGUGGGAGUACAAUAACCAACUCUGAUACGAGUUGUGUUUGUAAAUAUUCAUUUUUGUUUAAAAUUGGAGAUAGAUCCUAGUCGGUUAGGAAAUUGGUUGUAACAGGCUAUAAAUAGCCAUCUUUAGAGAUUUGUAAAGGACACAUCAAUCAAUACAAACAAUCUACUUUUUUCCUCGUACUUUACUUUCAAGUCGGCGACUUCGCCAAUACUUCUUUUUCCUUCAUGAGUUCGUACGGAUUGGCAGGACUGCAUCGACACGACCUCCGGCCGAUU
This 361-nucleotide long non-coding RNA is filed under the name Setaria viridis. RNAcentral describes it as "long non-coding RNA (SVIR_LNC006558)". Lineage: Eukaryota; Viridiplantae; Streptophyta; Magnoliopsida; Poales; Poaceae. The record is from RNAcentral.